Molecule: non-coding RNA, 177 nt
Organism: Paramuricea clavata
Lineage: Eukaryota; Metazoa; Cnidaria; Anthozoa; Malacalcyonacea; Plexauridae
Source: the annotation of a GenBank genome assembly
GUUGUAAAAUGCGGAAAAUAUAGCCCUACAAAAUUUGCAAAUUUUGUAUUAAUUUUUAUUACGCACGUGAAAAUGCAGCACUUUCGGCCCAAAUGUGGUGCAUUUUCCCGCAUGUAAUACAAAAUAAUACAAAAUUUGCAAAUUUCGCAGGGCUAUAUUUUCGGCAUGUAGUAAAAC